GUGCCAGCAGCCGCGGUAAUACGUAGGGUACAAGCGUUGUCCGGAAUUAUUGGGCGUAAAGAGCUCGUAGGUGGUUUGUCGCGUCUGCUGUGGAAACGCAAGGCUCAACCUUGCGCGUGCAGUGGGUACGGGCGAACUAGAGUGCAGUAGGGGAGUCUGGAAUUCCUGGUGUAGCGGUGAAAUGCGCAGAUAUCAGGAGGAACACCGGUGGCGAAGGCGGGACUCUGGGCUGUAACUGACGCUGAGGAGCGAAAGCAUGGGGAGCGAACAGGAUUAGAUACCCUGGGUAGUCC
Molecule: ribosomal RNA, 293 nt
Filed under: uncultured microorganism
Description: partial 16S ribosomal RNA
Rfam family: Bacterial small subunit ribosomal RNA
Source: RNAcentral